Molecule: non-coding RNA, 74 nt
Organism: Gossypium arboreum
Lineage: Eukaryota; Viridiplantae; Streptophyta; Magnoliopsida; Malvales; Malvaceae
Source: Rfam
GCGGAAAUAGCUCAGUUGGUAAGAGUGUCACCUUGCCAAGGUGAAGGUCGCGAGUUCGAGUCUCGUUUUCCGCU